RNAcentral lists this ribosomal RNA (852 nucleotides) under uncultured bacterium. Its description in RNAcentral is "bacterial SSU rRNA". It matches the Rfam family "Bacterial small subunit ribosomal RNA", at positions 9 to 867 of the family's 1533-position model. The record is from RNAcentral.
GAGUUUGAUCCUGGCUCAGGAUGAACGCUAGCGGCAGGCCUAACACAUGCAAGUCGAGGGGCAGCACGGGUAGCAAUACCUGGUGGCGACCGGCGCACGGGUGCGUAACGCGUAUGGAACCUACCCUCCGCAGGGGAAUAGCCCGCCGAAAGGCGGAUUAAUGCCCCAUGGCUCCCGAUCCCCGCAUGGGGUAUCGGGAUAAAGCUCAGGCGGCGGAGGAUGGCCAUGCGUGCCAUUAGCUAGUCGGCGGGGUAACGGCCCACCGAGGCGAUGAUGGCUAGGGGGUCUGAGAGGAUGGUCCCCCACACUGGUACUGAGACACGGACCAGACUCCUACGGGAGGCAGCAGUGAGGAAUAUUGGUCAAUGGGCGCAAGCCUGAACCAGCCAUGCCGCGUGCAGGAAGACGGCCCUAUGGGUUGUAAACUGCUUUUACACGGGAAGAAUGGCCCCCUCGUGAGGGGGUUUGACGGUACCGUGCGAAUAAGGAUCGGCUAACUCCGUGCCAGCAGCCGCGGUAAUACGGAGGAUCCAAGCGUUAUCCGGAUUUACUGGGUUUAAAGGGUGCGUAGGCGGGCGCUUAAGUCAGCGGUGAAAGGCAGCGGCUCAACCGUUGAAUUGCCGUUGAAACUGGGCGCCUUGGAUUCGGUCGAGGCCGGCGGAAUGCGUGGUGUACGGUGAAAUGCUUAGAUAUCACGCGGAACGUCGAUUGCGAAGGCAGCUGGCCAGACCGAGAUCGACGCUGAGGCACGAAAGCGUGGGGAUCAACAGGAUUAGAUACCUGGUAGUCACGCCGUAACGAUGAUUACUAGCUGUUGCGAUACACAGUAGCGGCACAGCGAAGCGUUAGUAU